CAAAUGAGCCACAAACCUGUGGUGGGCCGAGCAACAGAGACCAACAGCUCUUAGAAUGAAUGGUGCUCACGUGUCCCCAAUGUCUGAGCAACGCGAAGAUUUCCUGGGGUGAAUCCAAUGUCUCUCUCCCAUAUGUCCAGUAAGUAUAUCACGGACAGGAAAUCCUCCGUCAAACAGAGUGGAGGAUACACUUUCAGCGCUAGGUUUCUCAGUAGUUAUUGCUAAGGAUGCUGGUGGCACAGCGGACAUAGUGCUCCUCCCGUUUACGGAGAGAGAGAAUGGAUGGGAGCUAAGAAACGUGCGUAGAAACUUCUUAGGACGGCACUGUGUGGGUGGAAAGGCGAGAAAGGGGACCAGGGAUAAAUGUUCUCCUGGUGCCCUGACGGUUGAGGGAUCAGCUGCGUAAGCAUUUGGCACUGCCAUUUUACUGCAGGCCUGCUCUGCCGCACUGGCAGAAGGACUGGCUACUUCAAAGCCCAGGAGCCCUACAGAACAGCGGCUGAAUCUGGCCGGAACUCAGACAUAGUCCACAGCCUACAGAGCAGCCAAUUUUCCCUUGUUUUGUUCAAGGUCAAUAUUGCACUCUAAAAACCCUCCCCUAUAAGAGUCAAGAUGACAAUCGCCUGUGACAAGACCCUCGGCUGCUUCAGCCACUGCUUCAUUUCCGUCCCAGGUAACGUAUUCCCGCAGACCGAGGAGGCCUUACCCACCCAGUGUCAGCCUCCUUGACGCUCACCGUCUUUGUGACGUGAAUGGGACCAAAAUACCAACUUCUGAUAGCAAACCACACCUUCCACUUAUCGUCAUGUUUAGAGUUUGAAGGAUGCGUGUCCCUUCAGUCCACGUCACUCUGAUACGAGCUGGUGCUAUCAUAACGCCUGCUCAGAAGGAUCAAGGUCCAAAACCCGACCAUGAAAAUUGGUGGAUACUCUGGAAUGGCGUCCUGGUGUCUGACAUUUACCAAGCACAGAAAAUGCAAGAUCAGUAUAGAUUGAAAACCAUGGAGACACCAAUGAGAGCUUGUUCUAGCCCCAGUUGGACUGCCUAUGUUGUAUGUGCCCCUCAUUUAUAUGUUAUAUUUACAUAUCGUAAGUUUACUGUGAACUUCUCAAAUCAGUCACAAGAAGCUCUAAAUGUUUUAUGCAAAUUAAGAUUCACAAAUCAGGGCUGGAGAGAUGGCUCAGCGGUUAAGAGCCCUGGCUGCUCUUCCAGAGGUCCUGAGUUCAAUUCCCAGCAACCACAGGGUGGCUCGCAACCAUUGGUAAUGGGAUCUGAUGCCCUCUUCUGGUGUGUCUGAAGACAGCUACAGCUUAC
This 1314-nucleotide long non-coding RNA is filed under the name Rattus norvegicus (Norway rat). Its description in RNAcentral is "long non-coding RNA NONRATT032005". The record is from RNAcentral. Lineage: Eukaryota; Metazoa; Chordata; Mammalia; Rodentia; Muridae.